This 488-nucleotide ribosomal RNA is filed under the name uncultured bacterium. RNAcentral's name for it is "bacterial SSU rRNA". It matches the Rfam family "Bacterial small subunit ribosomal RNA", at positions 8 to 507 of the family's 1533-position model. The record is from RNAcentral.
AGAGUUUGAUCAUGGCUCAGAAUGAACGUUGGGCGGCGUGGAUUAGGCAUGCGAGUCGUGCGAGAACCGUAGCAAUACGGGGACAGCGGCGAAAGGGAGAGGAAACACGUGGAUACCUACCCUCAGGUUCAGGAUAGCUAUGGGAAACUAUAGGUAAUACUGAAUAAUAUCUCCGGAUCAAAGGUGUGAUUCCGCCGGAGGAGGGGUCCGCGUCCUAUUAGCUAGUUGGUGAGGUAAUGGCUCACCAAGGCGAAGAUGGGUACGGGAUGUGAGAACAUGAUCCCGCUCAUUGGGACUGAGACACUGCCCAGACACCUACGGGUGGCUGCAGUCGAGAAUCUUCGGCAAUGGGGGAAACCCUGACCGAGCGACGCCGCGUGUGAGAUGAAGGCCUUCGGGUUGUAAAUCACUGUCGUAGAGGAGGAAGUGUAGGUGGGUUCUCCCACUUAUUUGACCUAUUCUAGGAGGAAGGACGGGCUAAGUUCGUG